This 1075-nucleotide long non-coding RNA is filed under the name Strigops habroptila (Kakapo). RNAcentral's name for it is "lncRNA (ENSSHBG00005014791.1)". Lineage: Eukaryota; Metazoa; Chordata; Aves; Psittaciformes; Psittacidae. The record is from RNAcentral.
UUUUGUUUAUUAAAAGAAAAUGUAACAAUUUCUAUCAAUAACACUUGCAUACGGAGGUAUACUUUACAUUACUCUUUCGUUAAAAAAAAUAAAUAUAUUUUUGGAGACUUUGGAAAAAUAAGGAUGGCCCAAUACUUGCAACACACUCCUUAUGUUCCUUACAAUGCACUGUGCCAUUUAUAUGUACUGCAAGUACAAGGUCUUAGCACUUUAUAGUCCACAAAAUAACCCUAUGCAGCAUAAUUUUAUCUUCUUCUCUGCAUUUAGAAUAUUUCCUUUGUUAUCCUUUUUUUGUGAGACUAUGAGUUUGCUUAAUUCCAGGCUGGUCCAAUACUUAGAUUUUUUAAAGAAUUAUUUUACAAAGCCUUAGACCACAGAAAUAUGUAAUUCCUUUUAAAUACCAAUGAGAAUAUUUUCACAUAGACAUUUUCUUGCAGUAUUCACAACUUAAACAACUGCAUCAAUUAGAAUUCAAAACCAAAAACAUUUACAAUUCUUUUGGUUUUCUAAGAAGAAAUCAAAAAAUAAAGUGCAUAACAGUGAAAUUACUUUCAACUUUUACAGUCUUCUAUGGAUAUGUAAUAAAUGGCAACACUGAUAAACAAAUUAAUUUGUUUUCAAUAUAUUAAACUAAUGCCAGUUGAAUUCAAUCUCCUCAUCAUCCUUGAAGUGUAUUAAAUUACAUUUUCACUGUUUUUAGGCUGCCAGUGUAUUUUCACCUUUUAAAAUACUUAUACAGACCAUUUUCUCAGAUGACGUGUCAAGAUUAUCGAGUGCCCUCACCAUUGCAAGAAAGAGGAUUUGUUUGAAGGAAUACACCCAAUUAAUUUGGUGUAAAUGUACUACCUGUUGAAUAGCUGUUGCAGAAAUGAAAUUGUAAACUGGAAAGCCCUUAAGCACCAUUUUCUAUGUGCCAUUUAACUUUACUCAGUAUUUGAAAAACUGGCAUAUUUCAGCCCUUAGUUUUUAAGCUGCAACAGGAUUUCUAUUUAGGCUAAUAGGAAAAUAAUUGAGAAUGCGAGUACACAAAAGACCCAGUAAAGCUUUAAGCAAAGUCUAUACAAUCAGACUUAAC